RNAcentral lists this ribosomal RNA (483 nucleotides) under uncultured bacterium. RNAcentral's name for it is "partial 16S ribosomal RNA". It matches the Rfam family "Bacterial small subunit ribosomal RNA", at positions 30 to 506 of the family's 1533-position model. The record is from RNAcentral.
AUUGAACGCUGGCGGCAGGCCUAACACAUGCAAGUCGAGCGGAUGAAGGGAGCUAGCUCCUGGAUUCAGCGGCGGACGGGUGAGUAAUGCCUAGGAAUCUGCCUGGUAGUGGGGGAUAACGUCCGGAAACGGGCGCUAAUACCGCAUACGUCCUGAGGGAGAAAGUGGGGGAUCUUCGGACCUCACGCUAUCAGAUGAGCCUAGGUCGGAUUAGCUAGUUGGUGGGGUAAAGGCCUACCAAGGCGACGAUCCGUAACUGGUCUGAGAGGAUGAUCAGUCACACUGGAACUGAGACACGGUCCAGACUCCUACGGGAGGCAGCAGUGGGGAAUAUUGGACAAUGGGCGAAAGCCUGAUCCAGCCAUGCCGCGUGUGUGAAGAAGGUCUGCGGAUUGUAAAGCACUUUAAGUUGGGAGGAAGGGCAGUAAGUUAAUACCUGGCUGUUUUGACGUUACCAACAGAAUAAGCACCGGCUAACUUCGU